CCCUGCAUAGCUCAGAGGUUAAAGCGGCUGCCUGCAAUGCGGGAGACCCGGGUUCGAUCCCUGGGUCGGGA
This 71-nucleotide transfer RNA is filed under the name Ovis aries (sheep). It matches the Rfam family "tRNA". From Rfam's summary of the family: Transfer RNA (tRNA) molecules are approximately 80 nucleotides in length. Their secondary structure includes four short double-helical elements and three loops (D, anti-codon, and T loops). The record is from Rfam by way of RNAcentral. Lineage: Eukaryota; Metazoa; Chordata; Mammalia; Artiodactyla; Bovidae.